AACGAACGUUAGCGGCGCGCUUAACACAUGCAAGUCGAACGAGAAAGGGCUUCGGCCCCGGUACAGUGGCGCACGGGUGAGUAACACGUGGGUAAUCUACCCUUGAGCGGGGGAUAACGUUUCGAAAGGAGCGCUAAUACCGCAUAAGACCACGCUCUCGAAAGGGAGCGAGGUAAAAGUAGGCCUCUGAAUUCACGCUUACACUCGAGGAUGAGCCCGCGGCCCAUCAUGGUAGUUGGUAGGGUAAUGGCCUACCAAGCCGAAGACGGGUAGCUGGUCUUAGAGGAUGAUCAGCCACACUGGAACUGAGACACGGUCCAGACUCCUACGGGAGGCAGCAGUGGGGAAUCUUGCGCAAUGGGCGAAAGCCUGACGCAGCGACGCCGCGUGGGUGAUGAAGGCCU
RNAcentral lists this ribosomal RNA (404 nucleotides) under uncultured bacterium. RNAcentral describes it as "bacterial SSU rRNA". It matches the Rfam family "Bacterial small subunit ribosomal RNA", at positions 29 to 417 of the family's 1533-position model. The record is from RNAcentral.